UACGUAGGUUGCAAGCGUUAAUCGGAAUUACUGGGCGUAAAGCGUGCGCAGGCGGUUUUGUAAGUCUGACGUGAAAUCCCCGGGCUCAACCUGGGAAUUGCGUUGGAGACUGCAAGGCUAGAAUCUGGCAGAGGGGGGUAGAAUUCCACGUGUAGCAGUGAAAUGCGUAGAGAUGUGGAGGAACACCGAUGGCGAAGGCAGCCCCCUGGGUCAAGAUUGACGCUCAUGCACGAAAGCGUGGGGAGCAAACAGG
This 253-nucleotide ribosomal RNA is filed under the name uncultured bacterium. RNAcentral's name for it is "partial 16S ribosomal RNA". It matches the Rfam family "Bacterial small subunit ribosomal RNA", at positions 524 to 776 of the family's 1533-position model. The record is from RNAcentral.